Molecule: long non-coding RNA, 1133 nt
Filed under: Sus scrofa (pig)
Lineage: Eukaryota; Metazoa; Chordata; Mammalia; Artiodactyla; Suidae
Description: lncRNA (ENSSSCG00030067228.1)
Source: RNAcentral
UGGAAAGGGUGAGACAGCAUCCCAGGGCAUAUGUUUCAGUAACCAGGGGGGUUUGAAAAGACUUACUCUAGGAUUUGUGCUCUUGUUAGUUCAUUUUAAGGAGAGCUCAAGGAGGUAAGGGCUUGCUCUGGGUUGGAAGCUGUCAGGGAGCAGGGAUAAUUUUGUGUCUGGGGAUCUCAAGGACUCUUAUCUAGAAGGAGGGAGGACUAGAGUAAUAUUAAAGCCAUAAUUUAUAAAGAAGCAGCAGGCACUCCUGUUAGCCAAGUUAGGGCAUGUCUGGGUGGUCAUUUUUGUGGUUUGAACAGUGUUUUCGUCUGUGUUUGGACAUGAUUACAGAGUGGACUUGUUUCUGUCUUGAGCCAUUGUGGUCACAGGGACCUUGUCCGAUGUGUGUUCUGUGAAAUUCUUAGGUUCAAAAGGAGAAUGCCAAGGCCGGAUGUGAGUGCCCAGCAUCAGGGGCUUGUUUUUUUCUAUCUCACAGCCUUCCGUGAGGAGCAGAAUACUUAAAGAUCACAUGAGGUGACAGAUUGGAACUGUGGCUGGAAGGAGUGGGAGAGUGUUAUGCAGGAGGAGGGAUGGCAGGAAGCCAGGGGCAGGCUGCAGCCUGUAUCAGGAGUCAGACUGUGCCCUGGAAAGGAACGCAGGAAGCGCCUUUUCUUGAGCAAGCUGGAGGCAGUUUUGGAGAUCUCAAACAAAUGGGGAAGGCACAGAAAUCCUCAUUAAGACCUUGCACCAAAAAUUGGCUAUGAGAGAAGUGGUCACCAUGUGCAAAGGAAAGCAUUGUUUCAUAGAUGCUUCAUUCCUAGGACCUGAAGGAGUGAAACUUCCACCUAAGAUGUGAAGGCUCUAAGCAGACAUCGCUGCUCCAGGUGACAUGUAGGACUUGAGGGUCCAACUCCAGCAAUCCAGGACAGUGCCAGGAAAGAGAAAAAGACUAGGACCCUGGGUGGAGGAGAAGGAGACCCAAGGGAAAAGAAGGAAAGUCCUAGAUGUCUGUCUGAGGAAGAACCUGGGCUAAAAGGUGACUCAAUAUGAAAAGCAAAGAAAUGUUUUGCACCACAGACCUGUGCCUCACACUCAAGGUAGCAAAUCAGCACCUACUGUUAACACAAUAAAGGCAAAGCACAGAAGCA